GGUUCGAUUCUGGUCAGAUUUUGAACGCUGGCGUGAUGCUUUACAGCAUGCAAGUCGAACGGCAGCACGGAUUUCGGUCUGGUGGCGAGGCGAAAUCGGAAAGAGUAAUGUAUCGGAACGUGCCUUAGUAGGGAUAAUUGCGCUGAAAGCGUAGCUAAUACCGCAUACGCCCUCUGGGGGAAAGCGGGGGACCUUCGGGCCUCGCACUAUUAGAGCGGCCGAUAUCGGAUUAGCUAGUUGGUGGGGUAACGGCUCACCAAGGCGACGAUCCGUAGCUGGUUUGAGAGGACGACCAGCCACACUGGACUGAGACAACAUGGCCCAGACUCCUACGGAGGCAGCAGUGGGGAAUUUUGGAUAAAUGGGUAGUAAACUCUGGAUCCAGCCAUCCCGCGUGUGCGAUGAAGGCCUUCGGGUUGUAGCACUUGGCAGGAAGAAACGGCACGGGGAUAAUACCCCGUGCAACUGACGGUACCGGCAGAAUGGCGACCGGCUAACUACGUGCCAGCAGCCGCGGUAAUACUAGGCAAGCGUUAAUCGGAAUUACUGGGCGUAAAAGUGGCAGUGUUAGGUUCUUUGUUAAAAGAUGAAAUCCCAGAGCUUAACUUAAACUGCAUUUUUAACUACCGAGCUGAGCGGCAGUUCGAGGGAGGUGGAAUUCGUGUAGCAGUGAAAUGCGUAGAUACGCGGAGGAACACCGAUGGCGAAGGCAGCCUUUGAUAUAACACUGACGCUCAUGCACGAAAGCGUGGGGAGCAAACAGGAUUAGAUACCUCUGUAGUCCACGCCCUAAACGAUGUUGCCAAAUUAGCUGUUGGGGCCUUCGCCUAUAGCGCAGCUAACGAAGUUGACCGCCUGGGGAGCAUGGUCGCAAGAGUGUUGAUUAAAACUCAAAGGAAUUGACGGGGACCCGCACAAGCGGUGGAUGAUGUGGAUUAAUUCGAUGCAACGCGAAAACUCAUCACCCUUGACAUGUCUUGGAAUCCUCGUGAAGAGAUUUGGGAGUACGAUAAGAGAACCGGGAACACAGGUAUGUAUGGCUGUCGUCAGCCGUGUCGAGAUGUUGGGUUAAGUCCUGCACGAGCGGCAACCUCACGCCAGUUGCCACGAAAGGGCACUCCUACGAGACUGCUAAGACAAACGAUACGACGUCAAGUCCUCAUGGCCCUUAUGGGUAGGGCUUCACACGUCAUACAAUGGUCGGGACAGAGGGUCGCCAACCCGCGAGGGGGAGCCAAUCCCAGAAACCCGACUGUAGUCCGAUCGCAGUCUGCAAACUGACUGUGGAAGUCGGAACGGUUAGCAAUCGCGGAUCAGUAUGUCGCGGUGAAUACGUUCCCGGGUCUUGUACACACCGCCCGUCACACCAUGGGAGUGGGUUUUACCAGAAGUAGUUAGCCUAACCGUAAGGAGGCGAUUACCACGGUAGGAUUCAUGACUGGGGUAAAGCUCUAACAAGGUAG
Molecule: ribosomal RNA, 1463 nt
Filed under: uncultured Bordetella sp.
Lineage: Bacteria; Pseudomonadati; Pseudomonadota; Betaproteobacteria; Burkholderiales; Alcaligenaceae
Description: partial 16S-23S ribosomal RNA intergenic spacer
Rfam family: Bacterial small subunit ribosomal RNA
Source: RNAcentral